GAUGAAGAACGUAGCGAAAUGCGAUAAGUAAUGUGAAUUGCAGAAUUCAGUGAAUCAUCGAAUCUUUGAACGCACAUUGCGCCCCCUGGUUUUCCGGGGGGCAUGCCUGUCCGAGCGUCAUUACAACCCUCAAGCUCAGCUUGGUGUUGGGCCCCGCCGCCCCGGCGGGCCCUAAAGUCAGUGGCGGUGCCGUCCGGCUCCGAGCGUAGUAAUUCUUCUCGCUCUGGAGGUCCGGUCGUGUGCUCGCCAGCAACCCCCAAUUUUUUUCGGGUUGACCUCGGAUCAGGUAGGGAUACCCGCUGAACUUAAGCAUAUCAAUAAGCGGAGGA
RNAcentral lists this unclassified non-coding RNA (329 nucleotides) under soil metagenome. RNAcentral's name for it is "partial contains 5.8S ribosomal RNA, internal transcribed spacer 2, and large subunit ribosomal RNA". The stretch from base 1 to 120 matches the Rfam family "5.8S ribosomal RNA", at positions 35 to 154 of the family's 154-position model. The record is from RNAcentral.